CCUCUAUCUCAGACAGGACAGCAGCAGCAGCAACAGGACACACACCCACACACAUGCACACACAUACACAUAUGCACACUCAGACUGCUCCAGGAAAGAUGCUCCAACAAGCAGUCCGAGUGGAAUCUGAUGUUUUCGACAGAUGGCAUUUAUCGUUUGGGACAUGCUGGGCUCAGCGGGACCUGAAGCUUAAGAGAGACAAGACAAAGCCACUAUGACCUGUCAUGCCUGGGUCAAGAUUUAGGACAUUCUCCACCAAUGAAGGUCUCCAUAGCAAACUGAGGACCUUAUUCUGAGGACUGAGGACAUGAAGCGAUAUCUUCAUAAAAUAUCAGUGUUUUAAACAAAUAAAUGUAGUUAGAAGUAUAAUAUUAACCUUGAGCUUAUGUAGCCAUCAAACUCUUUAUGCUCUUUACCAUGCUCUUUUAUAUUAAUUAUUUAUUAGUAAUAACACAAGAGGAAAUAGUAUAGUGUAGUCAAGUAACCUAUUCAUGUUCACUGAUUCAUUUUCAAUUUAAGAACAACCUCCAUUUAAGAAGCUACUCCUGUUCAGUUCGUUAAGAGUAGGGGAGACCAGGGACAGUUGUAACAGGGGACGGUUGUGACACCUUGAAUUCCUCCAAUCAGAAACAACCUAGAGUGAUGACACUCGCUGUGCACAUGCUCAGUUAGUUUCCCUCCAUUUUUGCUAUAAAGGGAGACACAUUUGAAUCUUCCUGACAGAGUUAUCUACAAAAUAUUGUUUUUGAGGUAAAAAAUUUACUUUUCUUUCUGAUGUACUUUUAGGAUCAAAUGUCCAUGAAUUCAAACAAGGAUUAUUAGAACACCUAUUUUGUAAGCUAAAAAUAUACAGUAAAUUGCUAAGAAGUGUCAAACUAGCAGUCAAGCUAGCUCACAUGAGAUGACAUGCGUUACAACCGUCCCUGUACACUGGGACGGUUGUAACAGUGGAGAGACUGUAGUAAAAUCCAUUUUUCAACCUGUACAUAUUUCAUAAAACCACUUAAAUACAUUGUUUCAGCGGUUGACAGGUUGAAGUUUAUGAUAUAACAAAUUGGUUAUUCAAAAAAAAAAGGUUUUUGAUGUAGUGCUAAAAAUUGCAAAAAGUGUUACAACUGUCCCUCGUCUCCACUACUAACUCUGCUCCACUAAUGCUCACCAUGGUUGCAGAGUGUCUUUUGAGUUAACAUCGUCUUCCUGUCAUCUUUGUCUGUUUUUCUGACAAACAUUUGAAAUACGAAAAAAACAUCCUAAUUAAUUUCACCAAUUGGUGUCAAAGUUGUUGAGCUCAGUGGGGAGUUUUUUGUAUCAAGAGAGAAUUCCUUUAGACUUAUUGACUACUUGGCAACCUUGAAAUUGUCCUUGCUGCAAUUCUUCUAGAAUUAAAGUGAUUAUUUUAAAACAAUGAAGAUGCUAAAACUUAUUUUACUAGUUAUAGAGAGAGAGAGAGAGAGAGAGAGAGAGAGAGAGAGAGAGAGAGAGAGAGAGAGAGAGAGAGAGAAAGAGCAUUCUUAGCAUUCGCACUAAGGACAGAUUACAUAAUCUCUGCAGGCAACUGUGACCGUGAUGUUGUAUCUCACAUUCACCUGGAGAGAUUGUGCAGUCGGUCUACAUUGUCUUCCACAUCGGUGACAUAUUCUCUCAAGAAACAUCACGGGGAUGCUGAAUUGCUGAGAUUAGAUCAUUACCUGCCCACUUCCCUACUAUACAAGAGUAAUUGACUAGUGUUUAUCUGAAUGACAGGGAAGAGAGGAAGACCAUCCCACUAACCCAUAAUCAUGAAAACUUCUACCCAAUAUAAAUUCACACUCUGUCAACGAUAGGGCCAACCAGUAGACCAAUGGCCAUCUUAGAGUUCUACCUUUUACUUGUUCAUGCAAACAGUUAGCUAAUUUUGCUGUCAUGCUAUGCAUAAAAUAGACUAUAAGUCAUUAAGCUACAACAUAUCUGGUGAAAUGUACUGUAUGUGUAUACCUGGGCAAUCACAAGCAUAUGUGCUUUUUAAACAUCCCAUUUUACAUUUAGUUCUUCUUUGCUGUUAUAAUAAUCUACAAUCUUCUGAGAAAGCAUUUCAGUACAUGGUGUUGAAUGUCUGUAGGGAUUUGUGUUCAUUCAGUCACAAGAGCAUUAGCAAGUUCAGGCACUAAUGUUGGGUGAAAAGGAAUGGGGUUGGCUUCCUCCACACUAUUGUCUUGAUGGACCUUGUUGGAAGAAGUUUGGGUCAGUAAAGGGAAACCAUAAUGCUACAGCACACAAAGACAUUUUAGAGAAGUGUUUGCUUCUUACUUUGUGGCACGGGUUUAGGAAAGAACCUCAAAUUAGUGUGAUGGCCAGGUGUUUACAUGAUUAUGGCUAAAGGCCCUAGAGUGUAGCACCAUGUUAUGAGUCUUCUAUAAUCUUCUUUUUCAGAUGCUUCAUCUUGAUGUCAAGUUUUCUCUAUAACUGUUCAGUGUCUUACGUCUUUGUUGUGGUGUUGAAGCCCUUUUGUUCUCAGUGAAGAGGCUUCAUGUACCCUGACAACUCCAUCAGACAGAGCUCAGAUCUGUGAAGAUCUGGGAUCUCAAUUGGUAAUUGUGAGUCUUUCUUUAAACAUCUCUCACAAUAGGUGCUGGAAUAUGACUAAACAUUGUCACUUGUUUGCAGUGUAAAGGUAAAUUCAAGCCCAGCUAAUUAAAGUAGAUGUCACAAUGAUUCCAAAAUGAUCUUGUUUCAAGGCUUUUUCCAUUCUAAAAGUGUUUAAUGAACAAUUAUCCUACCUUUUCUUUUCUUUUUUUUUAAGGAUGGAAGAAUCUAAUGAGAAAAUUAAGGAGACAAGAGCUUUCAGAUGCUGAUGAUACUGCAUCAGGAACUGAUUGGAUGUUACAGAGAAACCAUCAGUCCUUGAUGCAUUGCCUUCAGCAUCGAAAGAGACACCAUCCAAGCCUUAAGGGCACAUUCUGUACACCUUUGACUGUUUGUAAGCUAUUUAUAUGGAUCUGUCUUAUG
Molecule: long non-coding RNA, 2985 nt
Organism: Tachysurus fulvidraco (yellow catfish)
Lineage: Eukaryota; Metazoa; Chordata; Actinopteri; Siluriformes; Bagridae
Exons: 3
Source: RefSeq, a predicted model, not a curated record